GACGUAGGGCGCGAGCGUUGUCCGGAUUUAUUGGGCGUAAAGAGCGUGUAGGCGGUUUGUUAAGUCUGCUGUGAAAUCCCCGAGCUCAACUUGGGAAUUGCAGUGGAUACUGGCAAGCUGGAGUAUGGUAGAGGAAGGUGGAAUUCCCGGUGUAGCAGUGAAAUGCGUAGAGAUCGGGAGGAACACCAGUGGCGAAGGCGGCCUUCUGGACCAAUACUGACGCUCAUGCACGAAAGCGUGGGGAGCAAACAGG
RNAcentral lists this ribosomal RNA (253 nucleotides) under uncultured bacterium. RNAcentral describes it as "partial 16S ribosomal RNA". It matches the Rfam family "Bacterial small subunit ribosomal RNA", at positions 524 to 776 of the family's 1533-position model. The record is from RNAcentral.